RNAcentral lists this unclassified non-coding RNA (240 nucleotides) under soil metagenome. RNAcentral's name for it is "partial contains 5.8S ribosomal RNA, internal transcribed spacer 2, and large subunit ribosomal RNA". The record is from RNAcentral.
AACACUGUUAACCUGCGGUACCUGCGGAAGGAUCAUUAUCGUAUCUCCGAGGAGGGGUCCGGUUGGGCCCUGCUCCGGCCCACUAGGCCGUGCAGCGGGUCUCCCGUUCCCUGACUCAACCUAAAAAAAACCCCUGUGAACCUUCACGGCCAGAGGGUGCCGCCGGCGAAAGCUCGCGCGUGCCCGAAGCCGCAUCAUAUAAACCCCAGUUCAAAAGAAUGUCUAGCGGACUCUGUUCCG